ACUGAUGUAGCUCAGUAGUAGAGCACUUGCCUAGCAAGCACAAGGCCCUGGGGUUCUAUUCUCAGCAUCAAAA
RNAcentral lists this transfer RNA (73 nucleotides) under Neotoma lepida (desert woodrat). It matches the Rfam family "tRNA". From Rfam's summary of the family: Transfer RNA (tRNA) molecules are approximately 80 nucleotides in length. The record is from Rfam by way of RNAcentral. Lineage: Eukaryota; Metazoa; Chordata; Mammalia; Rodentia; Cricetidae.